AUGAGUGAUGAGGAUAUAAAUAAGAAGACACAAAAAGCAGUGGAUGAUCUUGGUAGAGGUAUAGUGAAUAAAAUGCUUCAUGGUCCAAUGCAACAUUUGAGAUGUGAUGGGAGUGAUAGUAGGACUUUGAGUGAAACACUUGAGAAUAUGCAUGCUUUGAAUAGAAUGUUUGGUCUUGAAACUGAGGUUUCUGUUUUGGAGCAGAAGAUUAGAGCUAAAGUGGAGCAAAAACCAUAG
Vicia faba (fava bean) is the source of this 237-nucleotide non-coding RNA. The record is from the annotation of a GenBank genome assembly. Lineage: Eukaryota; Viridiplantae; Streptophyta; Magnoliopsida; Fabales; Fabaceae.